UCCGGGGUCGUCUAAUGGUAGGACUUCACUCUUUGGAAGUGAAUAUUUUGGUUCGAAUCCAAGCCCCGGAA
Molecule: transfer RNA, 71 nt
Filed under: Candidatus Staskawiczbacteria bacterium RIFCSPHIGHO2_02_FULL_33_16
Lineage: Bacteria; Candidatus Staskawicziibacteriota
Also listed under: 1 other name
Description: tRNA-Gln
Rfam family: tRNA
About the family: Transfer RNA (tRNA) molecules are approximately 80 nucleotides in length. Their secondary structure includes four short double-helical elements and three loops (D, anti-codon, and T loops). Further hydrogen bonds mediate the characteristic L-shaped molecular structure. tRNAs have two regions of fundamental functional importance: the anti-codon, which is responsible for specific mRNA codon recognition, and the 3' end, to which the tRNAs corresponding amino acid is attached (by aminoacyl-tRNA synthetases). tRNAs cope with the degeneracy of the genetic code in two manners: having more than one tRNA (with a specific anti-codon) for a particular amino acid; and 'wobble' base-pairing, i.e. permitting non-standard base-pairing at the 3rd anti-codon position.
Source: RNAcentral